AUGGCCGGCAUGCUCCCUGGAGUGGAGUGCGCGCGGCGGCGGCGGAUGUGGCAGGGCGGGGGCGCGGGGGCCGACCAGGCGGCCGCGGGCACGAGGCGGCUCUCGUUCUGCCUCUACGCUGCCGGGCACGGCGCCGCGCACGCCGUCGGCACCGGCAAUUCCGGCAACAAGCAGAGGAGCGGCGCCAUGGACGGGUGGGCGCUGGACAGCAAUGCCCGGGAGGCAAAGGAGAGGCUGGACCAGAAGCUCAAGAGCAAGGGCAGCGGCCCCGACACCGUCAUCAAGAGGCAUCACAGUACGGGGAGCAUAAAGCUGAGCAGAGCAAACGGAAGCGGCGGUGGUGGCGGAGGGGGCUCGUCGGCGACGGUGGCGACGGGCGUGCAGCGGGAGGUGUACUCGAAGAAGGGCGUGAUGAGGCGGCUGAUGAGGUGGAGCCGGCUGCGGUGGGAGGCCGCGGAGCAGGCGGAGUGCGCCGUGUGCCUGGACGAGUUCGCCGCGGGCGACGUCCUGGCGCACCUGCCGUGCGGCCACCGCUUCCACUGGGGCUGCGCGCUGCCCUGGCUCGAGGGCGCCGCCUCGCACUCCUGCCCGUUCUGCCGCGCCGCGGUCGACGCCGGCGCCGGCGCGCACGCCGCCUCCUAG
Molecule: ribosomal RNA, 642 nt
Filed under: Triticum aestivum (bread wheat)
Lineage: Eukaryota; Viridiplantae; Streptophyta; Magnoliopsida; Poales; Poaceae
Description: partial small subunit ribosomal RNA
Source: RNAcentral